GACGAACGCUGGCGGCGUGCUUAACACAUGCAAGUCGAACGGAAAGGCCCUGCUUUUGUGGGGUGCUCGAGUGGCGAACGGGUGAGUAACACGUGAGUAACCUGCCCUUGACUUUGGGAUAACUUCAGGAAACUGGGGCUAAUACCGGAUAGGAGCUCCUGCUGCAUGGUGGGGGUUGGAAAGUUUCGGCGGUUGGGGAUGGACUCGCGGCUUAUCAGCUUGUUGGUGGGGUAGUGGCUUACCAAGGCUUUGACGGGUAGCCGGCCUGAGAGGGUGACCGGCCACAUUGGGACUGAGAUACGGCCCAGACUCCUACGGGAGGCAGCAGUGGGGAAUAUUGCACAAUGGGCGGAAGCCUGAUGCAGCAACGCCGCGUGCGGGAUGACGGCCUUCGGGUUGUAAACCGCUUUCGCCUGUGACGAAGCGUGAGUGACGGUAAUAGGUAAAGAAGCACCGGCUAGCUACGUG
Molecule: ribosomal RNA, 468 nt
Filed under: uncultured bacterium
Lineage: Bacteria
Description: partial 16S ribosomal RNA
Rfam family: Bacterial small subunit ribosomal RNA
Source: RNAcentral